AUACGUAGGGGGCGAGCGUUGUCCGGAAUGAUUGGGCGUAAAGGGCGCGUAGGCGGCCCGGUAAGUCUGGAGUGAAAGUCCUGUUUUUAAGAUGGGAAUUGCUUUGGAUACUGUCGGGCUUGAGUGCAGGAGAGGUAAGUGGAGUUCCCAGUGUAGCGGUGAAAUGCGUAGAGAUUGGGAGGAACACCAGUGGCGAAGGCGACUUACUGGACUGUAACUGACGCUGAGGCGCGAAAGUGUGGGGAGCAAACAGGAUUAGAUACCCUGGUAGUCCACACUGUAAACGAUGAAUGCUAGGUGUAGGGGGUAUCGACCCCUUCUGUGCCGCAGUCAACACAAUAAGUAUUCCGCCUGGGGAGUACGGCCGCAAGGUUGAAACUCAAAUGAAUUGACGGGG
This 397-nucleotide ribosomal RNA is filed under the name uncultured bacterium. Its description in RNAcentral is "partial 16S ribosomal RNA". It matches the Rfam family "Bacterial small subunit ribosomal RNA", at positions 523 to 918 of the family's 1533-position model. The record is from RNAcentral.